GCACGCGGGUCUAAUCUACUGUGCCCAGACGAAGCCCGGGGUAUAUACUGUAAGGGGUGCGAAGCGUUAACUCGGAAUUACGUGGGCGUAAAGCGUGCGCAGGCGGUUAUGUAAGCCAGAUGUGAAAUCCCCGGG
This 135-nucleotide ribosomal RNA is filed under the name uncultured bacterium. RNAcentral's name for it is "partial 16S ribosomal RNA". The record is from RNAcentral.